GCCCAAGAGAUCGGGAUAACACCUGGAAACAGAUGCUAAUACCGGAUAACAACAGAUGAUGCCUAUCAACUGUUUAAAAGAUGGUUCUGCUAUCACUCUUGGAUGGACCUGCGGUGCAUUAGCUAGUUGGUAGGGUAACGGCCUACCAAGGCGAUGAUGCAUAGCCGAGUUGAGAGACUGAUCGGCCACAUUGGGACUGAGACACGCCCAAACUCCUACGGGAGCAGCAGCU
This 232-nucleotide ribosomal RNA is filed under the name uncultured Lactobacillus sp. Its description in RNAcentral is "partial 16S ribosomal RNA". It matches the Rfam family "Bacterial small subunit ribosomal RNA", at positions 128 to 355 of the family's 1533-position model. Lineage: Bacteria; Bacillati; Bacillota; Bacilli; Lactobacillales; Lactobacillaceae. The record is from RNAcentral.